RNAcentral lists this long non-coding RNA (635 nucleotides) under Fukomys damarensis (Damara mole-rat). RNAcentral's name for it is "lncRNA (ENSFDAG00000029258.1)". Lineage: Eukaryota; Metazoa; Chordata; Mammalia; Rodentia; Bathyergidae. The record is from RNAcentral.
GGACUGGUAUCUAUCUCUGCCAUAGAAAGAGGAAGAAGUUUCCAAAAUGGUGAAAAGUGAAAGUAAGUAAAAAGCCACUCCAGGAGCAGCUGCUGAAUAUGGAGCAGCAGCCCUGUAUUAUGAGGUAACAGAGUCUUGGGGCCCAUCUCAUCUCUCUCAGGUGCAGUCUCUGAUUGGGUAUCAGUUCAUUGCUAGGGAACUAUAAUGAAUCUUGGGGGUGAGGUGUGAAAAGUCUUAUUUUAUUUUGCCUGCCCCUCUUGGAACAGUUCAUAUAAAGAAGAACUUAGCUAAUGAUGCACACUUAUUGGUUUUAAAAUAGAACACAUAGAAGGUGGCAAUGAUCCUUCAGAAAGCAGCAAAAGGAAAGGCACAUGGAGUGGAGCUUCCUGAUACCUGACAACAAAGUUCCAGCUGUCACUGGAGAAGAGGCCUGGAAAUAGAUUUCAUGACAGAGGAAGAUGAAGAGAGUGAUUCCUCAGACACUGUGUUCAUUUCAGGAUACACGAGAGUCUUUAAAAAUCCAAUCGGAAACUUUGAGCAGGAAGAGAGAAGACUCACGGUCUCCUAGAAUCCAGAAGAAGACUGUCAGAUGCCCUUCAUGCCAGCUCCACCUAUCUAUUUCUCAGGCCCGCCCU